RNAcentral lists this ribosomal RNA (355 nucleotides) under Zygoneura sciarina. RNAcentral's name for it is "12S ribosomal RNA". The record is from RNAcentral. Lineage: Eukaryota; Metazoa; Arthropoda; Insecta; Diptera; Sciaridae.
UAAAAAUGUAUUUUAAUAUAUUAGAUUAUUAUUAGUUAUGUUCUUGAAAAUUAAUAAAUUUGGCGGUAUUUUAUUCUAUUCAGAGGAAUUUGUUUUAUAAUUGAUGGUACACAAAAUAUCUUACUUAAUUUAUUAAAGUUUAUAUAUCGUCGUCAUAAGAAUAUCUUAAAAGAGAUUUAAUAUUCUAAAAUUUAUAUUAAAAAUUAUGUCAGAUCAAGGUGUAGCUUAUAAUUAAGAAAAAAUGAAUUACAUUAAAUUUAUUUAUACGGAUAUAUAAUUUAAAUAUUAUAUAAUAAGGUGGAUUUGUUAGUAAAUUUAAAAAUAAAGAUAAAUUGAUUAUAGUUUUAAAAUAUGC